AUUGAACGCUGGCGGCAGGCCUAACACAUGCAAGUCGAACGGUAACAGGAAGCAGCUUGCUGCUUUGCUGACGAGUGGCGGACGGGUGAGUAAUGUCUGGGAAACUGCCUGAUGGAGGGGGAUAACUACUGGAAACGGUAGCUAAUACCGCAUAACGUCGCAAGACCAAAGAGGGGGACCUUCGGGCCUCUUGCCAUCGGAUGUGCCCAGAUGGGAUUAGCUAGUAGGUGGGGUAACGGCUCACCUAGGCGACGAUCCCUAGCUGGUCUGAGAGGAUGACCAGCCACACUGGAACUGAGACACGGUCCAGACUCCUACGGGAGGCAGCAGUGGGGAAUAUUGCACAAUGGGCGCAAGCCUGAUGCAGCCAUGCCGCGUGUAUGAAGAAGGCCUUCGGGUUGUAAAGUACUUUCAGCGGGGAGGAAGGGAGUAAAGUUAAUACCUCUGCUCAUUGACGUUACCCGCAGAAGAAGCACCGGCUAACUCCGUG
Molecule: ribosomal RNA, 490 nt
Filed under: uncultured bacterium
Lineage: Bacteria
Description: partial 16S ribosomal RNA
Rfam family: Bacterial small subunit ribosomal RNA
Source: RNAcentral